GAAGGCCUGCUGCCAUAGUGGCUGGGAAUCCAGAGCAUGGGCUCUGGCCGAGCCCCUGGGUGCUGGGGAGCAGAGGCUGGAUUAGCCAUGGGUUCUGCACUAGGUGGGCAGUGAAGGUCAACAAUAGUGGUCCAGGAGGGAGAGACGGCUUGAGGGAUGUGUCCACCGAGCCCAGUGACUGGGAUACUGGUAUGGAGUGAGGAGUGUGAGGUGGAGGGACCAGGCAGAGUGGGGGUAGGGACAGAAGUUCCUAUGCCACCAGAUCCUCAGAGGGCCCCUGGUUCUCUAACUGCAUUACCCUCAGGAUGGAUGGGUGACAGCGAUGGAUGGAUGGGCCACUGGAUGGACCGUGACAGUGUGAAUGCACAAAGGAGGGGCUGCUGGACCAGACCCCCGAGGCACUUGGCCCAACGACGACGUCUCACCUCCACGACCGACCGGCGCUAUCACAGCUCAUCUGCCAGCCUGUUCCACUUGUGCCAAAUGAGAGGCAAAAAGGGGUCCUUUCUUGUUCGAUUUGCAAGCACUGGAUCAUUGCAGAGGUUGAGCACCUGUUGGAAUGUUUAACAGAUGUUUAUUUACGUUACUACUGGGAAGGACCUAUCAUAUAGCCUUUGAUUUUCUUCCUCUCUUCUUUUUAUUUAUUUUUUUUUGGUGGGGAGUGUAUUUUUAUCUCUUGCAUUUUUGUAUUUUGAGUUUCACAAAUGAUCUCCCACUGUGUAAUGAUUAAAGUUAUUACACCUCAUGGUGGGUGGACCAUUUGGAAAA
Molecule: long non-coding RNA, 768 nt
Organism: Talpa occidentalis (Iberian mole)
Lineage: Eukaryota; Metazoa; Chordata; Mammalia; Eulipotyphla; Talpidae
Exons: 3
Source: RefSeq, a predicted model, not a curated record